UGGGCACCCAGAAGAAUGAGAGCUGACAUUGAGGGAUACAAAGUGGGAAGUAUGAGAAGACAAUGUCACGAAGCAUGCCUCAGAUCAAAUUCAGAGCUUAUUCACUAGUCAAGCAUGAGUCCUGCUAACAAAGAAUGAAGUAGAAGAGCAGGUGACCAGAGGCUGUUUUGUCUGAAAUCCAAGGAUUCUAGAAGCUGUAGUUCUAGAAUGGCUGCAUCUGCAACUCUUUACACCUAAACUAAAGCUGUUCAGACCUGUGCUGUAAUGUGGGAUUACCAGCCUCCAGGAUCCCAUUGCCUUAUUUUCUCUAGCUUAUCAACAAUGGAAAAAUACAACAAUUUCCCCCGUGGAUCAUGUUAUUUUGCUGAUGUGAGUUGAAGUUUCAGAAGAUGGGGAAAAAAGGAAUGAAGAAAAUAUUAUCAAAUCUGCUUCUUCAGCAAAAUGUAAGUGUGACCAAAAGGCUGAAUGCGUGCAGGGAUUGUACUAUAUGCUAAGAUAAUUUGGAAAACAUUCACAUCUUGAUUUUCUUUCAGAUAAACCCCCUAACAUUUGCAUUAUUUUCUAAUCAUCAUCUAAACCGUUUGAACUAUUGACAUUAGUGAAAUUGUGUGGAAAAGUCAAGAUACAGGUUGUCAUGUGAUUCACAGUGCUUCCUCUUUCUGCUCAGUCAUAAAAUACACUCUGACUGUAGCCUUUGUCACACUGCUUAGGACACGUCUGAUCUCAUUUGAAGCCUAGAAUGUAGACAGAUUGUUUUUUUCCAUCAUUAGUCCUGGUUUUUGAGUAUUCCUCAAAAAAAAAAAAAAACCUCAACACCUAAACAAACUUUGGUUG
RNAcentral lists this long non-coding RNA (834 nucleotides) under Numida meleagris (helmeted guineafowl). Its description in RNAcentral is "lncRNA (ENSNMEG00000001801.1)". The record is from RNAcentral. Lineage: Eukaryota; Metazoa; Chordata; Aves; Galliformes; Numididae.